Nerophis lumbriciformis (worm pipefish) is the source of this 5917-nucleotide long non-coding RNA. RefSeq lists it as uncharacterized. NCBI's taxonomy places the organism in Eukaryota, Metazoa, Chordata, Actinopteri, Syngnathiformes, Syngnathidae. The record is from RefSeq and is a predicted model, not a curated record.
CUGUCGAAUACGGUGAGGAUGACAGAAAACCCCCUGGAGAUGGGUAGACCUGUGAAAAUCCAGAGCAAUGUGCAACAGGGGAUGCAGCAACCCCGCAGGAGCUUGAUGGGAAGCCUUGCGUCUGGCGCAGACGGGGCAUGCAGCCACAAACCUUUGAGGUGUGAGCCCACGACAAGACCUCUAGACAGAGAGUUCUCGGCACAAAAAGGCGACCAGGAGGACAUCCAGGGGAUGGGGAGUCCCUGAUAGCCUCCGACACACGUCUCUCCACCUCCCACUGUACUGUGCCCAGAAUCCGGGACUGAGGAAGCAUAGUCUCUGGGGGAGUGUCUUCUGUAGGAGGAGAGAACAUCCUCAACAAGGCGUCAGGUUUACCAUUGAGUGAGCCCGGGCGAAAAGUGAUACAAAAGUCAAACCUUGUAAGGAACAGGGACCACCGAGACAUGCGGGGAUUGAGACGUUGGGCAGAGCGGAGGUAGGCUAGGUUUCGAUGAUCAGUAUAAAUGAUAAAGGGGUGUUUGGCACCCUCCAGCCAGUGCCUCCAUUCUUGAAGGGCGAGGACCAAUGCAAGAAGCACUCGGUUCCCGAUGUCAUAGUUCUUCUCUGCAGGCGUAAGGAGAAGGCGCAGGGGUGCAGCUUCUGAUCAGAACUGGAAUGCUGGGACAAAACAGCCCCUACCCCGGUGUCAGAUGCGUCCACCUCAACAAAAAAAUGGGAGAUCAGGAUUAGCGUGAAGUAACACAGGAGCGGAGGUAAAGAGGCAUUUAAGGCGUCGAAAAGCCUGGUCAGCCUCUGAAAACCACACAAAAAGAACCUUAGAGGACGUUAAUUAAUUUAAAGGUUGAGCUACUUUGCUGAAGUCUCUAAUAAAGCGUCGGUAAAAAUUAGCAAACCCCAGAAACCUUUGCAGCAGCUUCCUGGAGGACGGCGUAGGCCAGUCUACAACCGCUUGGAUCUUAGCUGUGUCUGGCUUAACCUGCCCCCUCUCCACAAUCAACUCCAAAAACGACACUGGGAGAAUGAAAAGUGCACUUUUGGGGUUUAACAAAAAAUCGGUUCCCUAAAAGUCUCUGCAAAACCAAACGGACAUGCUGAUGUAAUUCAAUGGAGCGUGAAAAAAUAAGUUUAUCAUCCAGUAGACUACCACGAAACGGCCUAUUAUGUCACGGAGGACGUCAUUAAUUAAACACUGAAAAACCCCAGGAGCAUUAGUGAGGCAGAACGGCAUGACGCAAUACUCAAAUGGCCAAGAGGGGUGUUAAAAUCAGUCUUCCAUUCAUCACCUUCACGAAUACGCACGAGGUGAUACGCAUUAUGAAGAUCCAUCCAUCCAUCCAUUUUCUACCGCUUAUUCCCUUUGGGGUCGCGGGGGGCGCUGGAGCCUAUCUCAGCUACAAUCGGGCGGAAGGCGGGGUACACCCUGGACAAGUCGCCACCUCAUCGCAGGGCCAAUCCAAUUUAGUAAAUACUACCGCCCCAUGCAAAGGAGCAAACGAAGACAACAGUGGAAGAGGGUAUUUAUAUUUAAUUGUAAUUUUGUUCAGAGCUCUGUAAUCGCCGCGAAGAAGGUAGUGGCGAACCUGGAAGGAGGUCAAUGGCACAGUCAUACGGGCGGUGGGGGGGUAGCGACGUAGCCCGGUCUUUACAAAAAACUUCACGAAGAGAAUGAUAUUCCUCAGGAAUCAACGCGAGAUCAGGGGGCUGAAGAGUAGGAAGAGUGACAGGGUUAGCCGGAGACGAAGCGGAGCGUAAACAGUGACUAUGACAAAAAGUACUCCAAUUGGUAAUUUUAAGUGUGGUCCAAUCUAUGCUUGGACUGUGACGUUGCAACCAUGGAAGUCCAAGAACUAAGGGUGCCGAACGAGAGGGCAUUAUAAACAAUUUAACCUCCUCACAGUGAUUACCAGAAAUGAGGGAUGUGGCAUGUGUCUGAUGAGUAAUAUUAGCCAGGUGACGCCCGUCAAGUGAGCUAACAGUCUUAAUACGAUCAAUACCCACAGUAGGAAUCUUUAGAGAUUCCACAAGACUACUGUCAAUUAUGUUCUCAUCAGCCCCUGAGUCAAUUAGUGCCUUAAUAGGGCAAGAACCCCCCACCCAUGACAGUACCUUCCACUUGAAGUCUUCCCACCAGUGAGGAUGCAGACGUCACCACAGGAGCAGGCGGCGAAGUUGGUAAUCUUCCCUGCAGAAGGUCUCGGGUGGACGCGGAACGGCCCCCAGUAGGCCGCGCAGGACAGCGAACAACGAUGUGGUCCGCAGCACAAGCACAACCUCAGCCGACGUCUCCUCUUUGCUGCGACUGCCACCCAGCUGCAUAGGUAUGGCCCCCUCUAGCCCCUCCUCCGGGGCACUGCAGUCAGAAGGCGGAAGCGACGAAACCUGAGACUUGGAUGUUGACUGUGGGGACCAGGCAGGUGACUGCCAUCUGGCGGACGGAGGAUCCACACCCUUCUGGGCGUGUCGCUCUCGUAGGCGGUUGUCCAAUCGGAUAGCGAGCGAGAUGAGCUCCUCGAGGGCCUGGGUCUCGGCGCGGGCAGCCAGCUCGUCUUGGAUCUGGGGGCUAAGGCUAGCCAGGAAUUAUCCCCGCAAUGCUCUCUCCUCCCAGCCACUCUCCGCCGCUAGGAUCCGGAAGGAGAUUGAGUGGUCCGCUACAGAGGAGGACCCCUGGCGCAUAGCGAGGAGGCGGCUGCCUGCCUUUCGUUCCCUCACAGGGUGAUCGAAGACGCUGCGCAGCUCAGCGGAAAAUAGGGGUAGGCUGGAACGAAGACCGGGUUUACUCACACACACCUCUAUAGCCCAGGGUGCUGCUCUUCCAGCUAGUAAACUAAGUAUAUAUGCCACACGGGGAGAGUCUGUUGUAUCUGUGUGAGGCUGCUGUGCAAAAACUAAAGAGCAUUGAUGUAAAAAAAAAAAAAAAGUCUGCAUUGUCCAAAGUCCCCCUCAUACUUGGGCGGAUGUGGUAUGCUGGGCUCCCGGGUAGGAAAACCCGAUGUCGAGGUCACGGGGUAAGAAGAAGCUGCAGUUUGAGCAGCCUCUGAGUCUUGGAGCGGGUGAGGGACAAACAGGCGUGUAUGCAUCUCCUGCACAAGUGUGGUCAGGUUUGACAAAGUACAAAGUUUGUUAGUGAUCACUUAUUCGCUGGCCAUGAGCCCUGAGGGCCAGCUGAAUACGAAUCUCAUCUGCAGGUUCCAUAAUAGACUCUGCAAUUCUGUCACAGUUCAAUUAAAUAUAGAACAGAGGAACCCAAGGAUGCAGAUGGAAUGUGAGUUAAACAGUUCUUUACUUAACGAAAAAGCACUUCCAACAAUGAUCCAAAAAUAGGAGAUAACAAAAAGCUAAGAAUAGAACACAAAAAGAGCACCGUGAUAAAAAGAACAAAAGCUAAUAUACAAAACUAUUUAAACUUAGGAGUGACGUGCACAUACCAAGCUGGACGGCACUGGGAAUAGCCAAGAAGGUAAGUAGCAUAAAUACAAGGAGUAGUGAUGGGUCCGGCAACACCGAUACAUCGGCGCAUGCGUCGAGCUCAUAGAGCGAAACCCUGUGUCGGUGCGCGUACCGCUUUUAGAAAGUCACGUGACCGAUCAUGAGCUGUUUUGGUCACGUGACCAAUACGCGAACUGUGUCGCACUGACGCCUCCUCUGUGCCCUGUGAAAGGUUCUUUUCUACAGCCGGAGAAAUAAUAACUAAGAAGAGAAAGCGUCUAAAAUUGAAUACAUUGGAAAAACUGUUUUUAAAAAAAUAUAAAAAUGUGUAAAAAAAAAAAAAAAAAAAAUUCCAGGUCCACAAGCAUCCUCAUUCACAACACGUUCUCUUAGAUUUCCAUGUUAUGAUACAUGUUCACAUUAUUUAUUGACUGUAUCUAAAAAAGACAAAAAAUAUAUUUUUAUUUAAAUGAAGUUAUGAAAUAAUCCUAAAUUAAAUACAAUGACUUGGUUUAUAUUAUUGUAUAUACUAGGUCAGUGGUUCUCAACCUUUUUUCAGCAAUGUACCCCCUGUGAAUUUUUUUUAAAUUCAAGUACCCCCUAAUCAGAGCAAAGCAUUUUUGGUUGAAAAAAAAAAAAGAUAAAGAAGUAAAAUACAGCACUAUGUCAUCAGUUUCUGAUUUAUUAAAUUGUAUAACAGUGCAAAAUAUUGCUCAUUUGUAGUGGUCUUUCUUGAACUAUUUGGAAAAAAAGAUAUAAAAAUAACUAAAAACUUGUUGAAAAAUAAACAAGUGAUUCAAUUAUAAAUAAAGAUUUCUACACAUAGAAGUAAUCAACUUAAAGUGCCCUCUUUGGGGAUUGUAUUAGAGCUCCAUCUGGAUUCAUGGACUUAAUUCUAAACAUUUCUUCACAAAAAAAAAAAUCUUUAACAUCAAUAUUUAUGGAACAUGUACACAAACAAUCUAGCUGUCAACACUGAAUAUUGCAUUGUUGCAUUUCUUUUCACAGUUCUUUUUGACCGACAUUUUAGUGACAAACCUGAGCUUGUGCUUCACGGAGUUUAUGAACUUACAUUCAUAUUUUGUUUAAGUAUUAUUCAAUAAAUAUAUUUAUAAAUGAUUUUUGAAUUGUUGCUAUUUUUAGAAUAUUUAAAAAAAAAUCUCACGUACCCCUUGGCAUACCUUCAAGUACCCCCAGGGGUACGCGUACCCCCAUUUGAGAACCACUGUACUAGGUUAUAAAAUCAGUGUCAGUUGAGUCGGUCCGUAGGUUGCCUGUAGGGAUUUUUAAUGUCCAGCAGAUGUCAGUAUUUAGUGACACAGUAUCGACACAGUAUCAAUACAGUUUUGCAAUGUGUUGAAACGCUUCAUGACGCCUCAUCAACCCAUCACUAACAAGGAGCAUAGGAGUCUUCAUACAAGUAGAGUCGAGGAGUGGAAUUGCCGAGUGCCACCCAGCUGACAAGGUGCUGCUUAAGUAGUGCUGGUGAGAUUGGACACAGCUGUGCACGUCUCACAACUCCGCCCACAGGGACACACAGGAACUCUGAGGAAGACAAAAGAUCAAUGCAUGGUCAACCGAGGCAUGAUCUCCUGUGCAGCCAUGCCUUGUUGCACACGGUGCACUUCAGAAACUCUGUAGGGAACGUGGCGUCCUGCGUGUGUCCUCGGGGGAACCAACGGUGGAAGAUUCAGGAAUGGCUCGGCUAAGAGAAGAUUACAACGCUCUUGCGGGCGCAUUCCAAUGCGCCCUCAUCUGUGUGUCCUGACGAGAGCACCGCGGGCCGCGCCCACUUGUGCUCUCUCCUCUGGCUGCUCGCCCGGACACGCCCCCGCUCACGCUGAGCGCACCACGCAGCGACAAGCCUGCACUCAAUCGCAAUCAGCACACCUGGUACUGAUGAGGGCGAGCUGCAUAAAGGACCUGUGGACCCAAGGAUCGACGCGGGAUCUUAGUUUACCCUUUGGAUACCUUACCUCUUGGUGUACCUGCCUUCCCGAGUCUCCCCUUCGACAUCUCCCGUUGUUUUCCCCCCUGUGUUUUUGGACUGCUUUCCUCGUUUCCCGACUCCUCGCUCGCCCCCGGACUCUGACGUCUCUCUAUGCCCCACGGACCCCUCGCAGAUCUUGGACCCCUUUUGCCUUGCCCUCUUUGGACUUGUCUGCUCCCUCAUCCAACAGCACGGUAAUACACAACAGCUAACUACACACAUAGUCUAACACCACUCACUCUAGGGUAGUGAUGGGUUGAUGAGGUGUCAUGAAGCGUUUCGACACAUUGCAAAACUGUAUUGAUACUGUGUCGAUACUGUGUCACUAAAUACUGACAUCUGCUGGACAUUAAAAAUCCCUACAGGCAACCUAUGGACCGACUCAACUGACACUGAUUUUAUGACCUAGUAUAUACAAUAAUAUAAACCAAGUCAUUGUAUUUCAUUUAGGAUUAUUUCAUAUCUUCAUUUAAAUAAAAAUAUAUUUUUAUCUUUUUUAGA